Populus trichocarpa (black cottonwood) is the source of this 478-nucleotide long non-coding RNA. RefSeq lists it as uncharacterized. Lineage: Eukaryota; Viridiplantae; Streptophyta; Magnoliopsida; Malpighiales; Salicaceae. The record is from RefSeq and is a predicted model, not a curated record. The transcript is spliced from 2 exons.
CUUGAAUAAUAGGGUUUUUUUUAUUCAAUUAAUUAAAUCUUAAUUUCAUACUAACAUAUUUGAUUGAUUUUGAUGUAAAUAGGCCGGCGGCGAGGGAUCUGUUAAAUUGCAAGAUUGCCCAGAAGCCUGCGAUGUCCGAUGCUCAGCAACCUCACACAAGAGUGCAUGCACUUUCUUCUGCAACUAUUGCUGCAAAAAAUGCUUGUGUGUUCCCUCAGGCACAUACGGUCACAAGGAUGAGUGUCCAUGCUACAGAGAUAUGAAAACACAAGAGGGCAAACCCAAGUGCCCAUGAAGCGGAAACGGCAGCCAACCAAACAAGUUUUCUUUGUUAGGUUGUGAUUUGAUCACAGAUUAAAUUAAUUUCUCCACAGAUAUGCUUGUAAAAUCGAUGGAAUUGUCUUUUAAGACAUUGAAAUAUUUUAAGUUAUAAUUUUAAAAAUAAAUUUAUUAUUAAUAAUAUUAGCUCUUAUAUUCC